CCUACGGGGUGCAGCAGUGGGGGAUAUUGCACAAUGGGGGAAACCCUGAUGCAGCGACGCCGCGUGUGGGAAGACGGUCUUCUGGAUUGUAAACCACUGUCCCCAGGGACGAAAAUGACGGUACCUGGGGAGGAAGCUCCGGCUAACUACGUGCCAGCAGCCGCGGUAAUACGUAGGGAGCAAGCGUUGUCCGGAAUUACUGGGUGUAAAGGGAGCGUAGGCGGGGAUGCAAGUUGGGUGUCAAAACUACCGGCUCAACCGAUAGUCGCACUCAAAACUGCAGCUCUUGAGUGAAGUAGAGGCAGGCGGAAUGCCUGGUGUAGCGGUGAAAUGCGUAGAUAUUAGGAGGAACACCAGUGGCGAAGGCGGCCUGCUGGGCUUUUACUGACGCUGAGGCUCGAAAGUGUGGGGAGCAAACAGGAUUAGAUACCCUAGUAGUC
This 440-nucleotide ribosomal RNA is filed under the name uncultured bacterium. Its description in RNAcentral is "partial 16S ribosomal RNA". It matches the Rfam family "Bacterial small subunit ribosomal RNA", at positions 338 to 795 of the family's 1533-position model. The record is from RNAcentral.